GAGUUUGAUCCUGGCUCAGAUUGAACGCUGGCGGCAUGCCUUACACAUGCAAGUCGAACGGCAGCACGGAGCUUGCUCUGGUGGCGAGUGGCGAACGGGUGAGUAAUAUAUCGGAACGUACCCUAGAGUGGGGGAUAACGUAGCGAAAGUUACGCUAAUACCGCAUACGAUCUAAGGAUGAAAGUGGGGGAUCGCAAGACCUCAUGCUCGUGGAGCGGCCGAUAUCUGAUUAGCUAGUUGGUAGGGUAAAAGCCUACCAAGGCAUCGAUCAGUAGCUGGUCUGAGAGGACGACCAGCCACACUGGAACUGAGACACGGUCCAGACUCCUACGGGAGGCAGCAGUGGGGAAUUUUGGACAAUGGGCGAAAGCCUGAUCCAGCAAUGCCGCGUGAGUGAAGAAGGCCUUCGGGUUGUAAAGCUCUUUUGUCAGGGAAGAAACGGUGAGAGCUAAUAUCUCUGCUAAUGACGG
Molecule: ribosomal RNA, 470 nt
Filed under: Janthinobacterium lividum
Lineage: Bacteria; Pseudomonadati; Pseudomonadota; Betaproteobacteria; Burkholderiales; Oxalobacteraceae
Description: bacterial SSU rRNA
Rfam family: Bacterial small subunit ribosomal RNA
Source: RNAcentral